GACGAACGCUGGCGGCGUGCCUAACACAUGCAAGUCUACUUGAAGUUACCGCUUGCGGUAAUGGAUGGUGGCGUACGGGUGAGUAACGCGUAGAUAACCUACCAUUUAAUUUGGGAUAAUUCACUGAAAAGAGGACUAAUACCGAAUGUGCUCUCAUUAUGGCAUCAUAUUGAGAGGAAAGACUGCGGUCGUUAAAUGAUGGGUCUGCGUAUCAUUAGUUAGUUGGUAAGGUAACGGCUUACCAAGACAUCGAUGAUUAGCUGGUCUGAGAGGAUGAUCAGCCACACUGGGACUGAGAUACGGCCCAG
This 308-nucleotide ribosomal RNA is filed under the name uncultured bacterium. RNAcentral describes it as "bacterial SSU rRNA". It matches the Rfam family "Bacterial small subunit ribosomal RNA", at positions 28 to 334 of the family's 1533-position model. The record is from RNAcentral.